This 253-nucleotide ribosomal RNA is filed under the name uncultured bacterium. Its description in RNAcentral is "partial 16S ribosomal RNA". It matches the Rfam family "Bacterial small subunit ribosomal RNA", at positions 524 to 776 of the family's 1533-position model. The record is from RNAcentral.
UACGUAGGUGGCAAGCGUUGUCCGGAUUUAUUGGGUUUAAAGGGUGCGUAGGCGGUUCUAUAAGUCAGUGGUGAAAUCCGGCAGCUCAACUGUCGAUGUGCCAUUGAUACUGCAGAACUUGAGUACAGACGAGGUAGGCGGAAUUGACGGUGUAGCGGUGAAAUGCUUAGAUAUCUGGAGGAACACCGGUGGCGAAGGCGGCAUCCUGGACCAACACUGACACUGAGGAGCGAAAGCCAGGGGAGCAAACGGG